AAUAACCAAAUAUAAUACUUGGGUUAAGGGUCAAGUUGGUAAUUUUUCUUACAUCUCCCCCUCCCGGAGCCCAGGUAUCAUAGACACCACCAAAAUAAAGAGCCUUGAAUACUAGAAGAAAAGCUCCUAUACCUAACAAGAUUAAGUGAAUACCUAAAAUUGUGGUCAUUUUAUUUCUAUCUUUCCA
RNAcentral lists this antisense RNA (187 nucleotides) under Daucus carota subsp. sativus. Its description in RNAcentral is "lncRNA IsrR". It matches the Rfam family "Antisense RNA which regulates isiA expression". Lineage: Eukaryota; Viridiplantae; Streptophyta; Magnoliopsida; Apiales; Apiaceae. The record is from Rfam by way of RNAcentral.